CCGCCAGAGAACUACAAGUGAAAAACUUGAAACUCAAAGGACUUGACGGUGUCCCAUAUCAACCUAGAGGAGCCUGUCCUAUAAUCGAUACCCCUCGAUCCACCCUACCUUAACUAGCAAAACUCAGCCUAUAUACCGCCGUCGACCAGCCUACCCUAUGAAGGUCUAACAGUAGACAUAAUAGUCACACCACUAGUACGUCAGGUCAAGGUGUAGCAAAUGUUAAGGAAGCGAUUGGCUACAUUUUUUAUAAUAAAAAAUACGGAAUGCACUAUGAAAUCGUUCAUGAAGGUGAAUUUAGUAGUAAAGC
Molecule: ribosomal RNA, 310 nt
Filed under: Phoenicolacerta laevis (Lebanon lizard)
Lineage: Eukaryota; Metazoa; Chordata; Lepidosauria; Squamata; Lacertidae
Description: partial 12S ribosomal RNA
Rfam family: Bacterial small subunit ribosomal RNA
Source: RNAcentral